UGCUAUCUAAAUACUUCCACGCCGCAGAUCUUCCCAAUGAAAAGCAAACAGAUCUGCCCACUUGCUUCGUGGGGAACGCUGCAAAAGGUUUGGUAAAUUUCCCACUCAAUUUUUGUUUUUGUUUUUUAAACCUAUAGAUUCGGCUUUUACCGGAGGGGCGGUUGCGCAACUGGACUUUCUUUUCCUGUUUCAGCUUGUAUAUAUUACUCUGUUCCUUCCGGCAGCACCUUCGCAAGCAGCAGGUGGGGAGGAUUAUCACUCACAGAAGCUACGGUUAGAUUUCUCCUACUGCCCCCUCCUUCCCGGCCCUGCCUUAUUCAGCGGCUAUUUCUCAUCGCUCACCCCGCCCCCUCCUCUCCCCCUCCCCACGCGGCUCUUCUUUUUGCGUGGAUGCCACUGACGGCGCGCGAGAGAAGAAGCGGCGGCUGCAGGCAAGGAAAUCCCUGUGCGUGAAAAAGCAGCCGCUAUUGCGGACUUCGUCCUUUUGGCGCGGCUGCGGUGUGUAUGUGGGGGGACUGAGCGCAGAAGCCACCGAGUGAAAAAAAAAAAAAAGAGGAGAGUUGAAUCCGUUUCAAGGGAAUCUGCCUUUCCCGCUGCUGCGCUCAGGAUCGCCAUCCCGGCUCCGCCUCCCCUUCUCCUCGGCGAUCUCUCUUCGCAGCCCAGUCUCGGAUGGUGCCCUGAGGGUGGAAGAAAAAAGGGAUCUUACUGGAGAAGAAAAAGAACCCGGAGCAGGUCUAUUCCCCUGCUACCUCCGGACGGAGGAAAAGAGAUUUAUUGGCGGCCGCCGGCCUGACACUAAACUUUUAUUGCAGUGUCUCCAGCCCGCCCCACUCUUGCUCUUGGACCCAGAAAGACUGCAGCGCGCAGAGCGAAGAUCCUUCGCAGGUUGGCGAGGGUGGAAAAGGCGCCAUCUCUUGCUUGGGGCAGACACUGAAGGGCGCUCGGUAGGCGGCGGCGGCGGCGGCACCUCCAAGACUGCGUGGCCCUCCGGGGUCUCGCUCCCGAUCGCUGCUUGAGAGAUUCUCCUGGGUUAAAUCGCUUCUGGGCUGAAUUGUGAUUUGUUUCUUUCUCUCUCUUUCCUUUCCUGGUCCUACUACUCCGGCCGGAGGAGACGCACUUUUACUUCGGCUUGAUGUGCUGCCACGAGGCGGGCGACAUGAGCUUUGCUGACUUUAAAGGGCUUCGCCUUUAAUAAUAAGGAUUGCGCGGCGGGCCCCCAAAGAUGACUAAAUCCCCCACUGGGUGAGCCCAUUUUUGCCCUCUGCCCCCUUCCCUUGUUCUCUUCCCUCCCCCCCUCUCCCUGGAGAAGCCUUUUCUUCCCACUUUGGGGUCCUCACCCCACCUCGUCCCACCCGGGAACUGAUGACAGGCCCACCCGGCUUCUUCCCUUCUGUGCGCCGUAAUAAUUCUAAAAGGCCGGACGAGCUCGGCCUCCAAAUUCUCUCCGAAAGACUGGUUGCUGUGUGGGAAACUGGCGAUUAAAGCGGGAGGAGAGAAGCCCGCCUCCCUUCCGCGCCGGAGCCUGGGAGCUCCCUGUUGGCGGCCGUUUGCCGUCGCCCGGAGUCGAGCUUUUGCGUCUCUUCUUCCUCCCUCGCCUUUCUUGGCCGGUUAUGCAGACUCCCGGCGGCUGCGGCGGCCGCUGCUAGCCCCUGAAGCUGGCUGCUCUGGAGCCGAGCGGUGGAAAUGGUCGCUCCUUGCCAAACGGCGGGGCGAGAGCGCGAGCGAGUGCAGAGGGGGACGUCGAGCUUCUGGGCUGAGCGUGUGCCGCGCGCGUGGGCUCCCGGCUGCUCGGCUCUCCACCGUGGAAGCCCUCCCGUCUCUAGAUGGAAUUAGUGGAGAGCGCAGCCCCUUGUGUAAGGAACAGACAUGAUCCAUGGACGCAGCUUGUUUCACAUUGUAGCAAGUUUUAUCAUCCUACACUGUGCUGGGGCAACAAAAAAAGGAGCAGAAAAGCAAAGCAGUUCAGAAGGACAAAAGACAGUUCAGUGUGGAGUGUGGACAAAAUACACAGAAGGAGGUAUUUUCACUUCCCCGAAUUACCCCAACAAAUAUCCUCCUGACAGAGAAUGUGUCUAUAUUAUAGAAGCUGCCCCAAGACAAUGUAUUGAGUUGCACUUUGAUGAGAAAUAUUCCAUAGAGCCUUCUUGGGAGUGUAAAUUUGAUCAUAUUGAAGUGCGAGAUGGACCUUUUGGAUUUUCUCCAAUAAUUGGCCGUUUCUGUGGACAGCAAAAUCCACCUAAAAUAAAAUCCAGUGGCAGAUUCUUGUGGAUUAAAUUUUUUGCUGAUGGCGAACUUGAAUCUGUAGGAUUUUCUGCACAGUACAAUUUCACACCUGAUCCCGAAUUCAAGGAUCUUGGGGUUUUGAAACCAUUGCCAGUCUGUGAGUUUCAAAUGGGAGGAUCUGAAGGAAUUGUGGAAUCGGUGCAGAUCGGAAAAGAAGGGAAAGCUUCUGAUUCUGAGGCUGUUGAUUGUAAAUGGUACAUCCGAGCACCACCACGAUCCAAGAUAUAUUUACGAUUCUUGGACUAUGAAAUGCAGAAUUCUAAUGAAUGCAAAAGGAACUUUGUGGCUGUCUAUGAUGGAAGUAGCUCAGUGGAGGAUUUAAAAGCAAAGUUUUGCAGUACUGUUGCUAAUGAUGUGAUGCUGCGUACAGGUCUUGGAGUAAUCCGCAUGUGGGCAGAUGAAGGCAGUCGAAAUAGCCGAUUCCAGAUGCUCUUCACAUCUUUCCAAGAACCCCCCUGUGAAGCCAACACAUUUUUUUGCCAUAGUAAUAUGUGUAUUAAUAAUACAUUAGUCUGCAAUGGACUCCAGAACUGUGUAUAUCCAUGGGAUGAAAACCACUGCAAAGAAAAAACAAAAGCCAGCCUGUGGGACCAGCUUACAAAUACCAGUGGGACAAUCAUUGGGGUGACUUCUUGCAUUGUGAUCCUCCUUAUCAUCAUCUCUGUUAUAGUCCAGAUCAAACAGCCUCGUAAAAGAUUUGUCCAGAAGAAAGCAGACUUUGAUCAAACAGUAUUCCAAGAAGUUUUUGAGCCUCCUCAUUAUGAGUUAUGUACUCUCAGAGGGACAGGAACUUCAGUGGACCUUGCAGAUAUUGCAGAUGACUUUGAAAAUUAUCAUAAACUCCGUAGAUCAUCUUCGAAAUGCAUUCAUGACCACCACUGUGGAUCACAGUUAUCUAGCACUAAGGGCAGCCAUAGUAAUCUUAGCACAAGAGAUACACCAAUCUUGACAGAAAUCCAACCCCAGCCUGCAAAGCCCCUUAUCCAGCCUGUGAACAGAAGAAACAUCCUUGUCAUGAAGCAUAGCUACUCACAAGAAGCUGCAGAUGUGUGUGAGAUAGAUGAAAUUGAAGAGGUACCAACCACGAGUCACAGGCUGUCCAGACACGAUAAAGCUGUUCAGCGCCAUAACAUUCCAGGUUCUGCCUCAUUGGGUCUCUAAACAAACAUGAAUCUGAGUACAACACAACUAGGGUGUAAAAGACAACUGAAGAUUGCUUCAGAAUAGUGCAUUCGGGGUGAUUUUGAAUAUACAACAGUGACUUAUGAAAGUAUCAGCUCUGGAACUACAAGCUAGAGAUGUUCUGGACUCCAAUGAACUACUCCGAUUUCGUGGGGAAAAAAACACCAGUCAAUAAUAAGCAAAAUUAAUGAAUGGCAAUAAGACCCUUAUUACUAUCAUUUAUUGUAAUCAUAUUUUUCUUUUAUAUUGUUAUUUAUUUUGUUAUUUGAUUACAAAGAAAAGUUAUCCACUUUCAGGAACAAAUGAUUAAUCAGGUAUUUAUGGAUUCAUAACCACUUCAACAGAAGUAUCAGUUGAAAACAUCUAAUGAUGUGGCAGAAGGUCACGCUGAGAAAUUGAUCUGCAUGUAUGUUGCUGAAUAUUUCAAUCGGCAAAAAAAUGUUUGAGAUUCAUUGUAAAAAGCAUGCAUUCAUACUUACUGCUAUUCCAAUCCAUUUCUUUGUGUCAUAUGCUUGCAAAUUGUAAGUUUUUAUAUAAUGAUACAUAAAACAAUGUAUAAUAAUUUCUUAAACUGAGUUUUGCAGUAGUCUUAUUUACUCUAGCAGUUAAGUAAGGAUUUAUAGUACAUUUGCUGGGUCACAUCUAAAUGAUGAAUCAUUUUUAGUAGCUGAAAUUCUGAAAGUCAUCUAGAACAGGGAUCUCCAAACUUGGCAACUUUAAGACUUGUGGACUUCCAACUCUCAGAAUUCCCCAGUCAGCAUACUAGUCUUAAAAUUGCCAUGUUUGAACACCCUUGAUCUAAGAAGGGAAUGAAGCAAGUAUGAAUAAAUACUGAACUUAUCUUUAAUUUCUCCCAAAAACCCAAGUAAGAUGAGAUUUCUACAGUAUCUUUGUUUGUUCGUUUGUUUGUUAUUUUAAAAAAUAUUGCACACAGUACUUUCUGAUAGAUUACAUUAGGAAUAAUGUGUAAUGUCAAAUACCGUAAGCCUUGUUCCUUAUGAAUUACAGAAUUCUCAUGUCAUUUGCUGAACAUUUCUAUCUCAUUGUCUCAGUGUUGAAAAACAAUUUUUCUAGGACUUUUAUUUAACCAUCCCAAAUGUUGCAUAAGAAGCUCUUUAUUCACUUUACCAAUGUAACAUAUUAUCUGAAAUAUUGAAAGCUCAAAAGCUGAAGUUCACAGAUGUUGAAAUCUCAGAAUCAUUGUGGCUUUGAAGGGUGCACACAGAUGGAUGACAGCUGUCAGAUUCAAAUGAAAACUGAUGGUAAACUGUCAAAUAUUGUAAAUUGCUAAAUGUAGUCCAGUGUUGAAAGUUAUUACAGAUUGAUUGCAAUUAUUUAAUAUUUGUAAUUUUUUAAAGUAAAUUUCUAUUACCUCAAACAGCAUAUUUUUUAAUGUGUACUUUGGAGUAACUACUUUUAUAAACAAAGCAGUUGAGUAAAAAGUGUUUCCCUCAUUGGCCUCAAAGAACAGAAGGCAUUCAAAAUAACUUUAAAAAUAUAUAUUCACAAACAAAUCUCAUGAUAUUCAUUGGCAGUUAAUCUCAAAGACUGUGACACGUGAUUACACUUCCAGUAUAGAGUAAGAGUUAUGCUGGAGGAGGAAAGAAUGGAUAUAUUUGUGUGUAUUUAUGUAAAUUUUAUUAGCAGUAACAUUGACUUAGGUUUUGAAGCUUCUACUGCAAAGAAACCCCUCUUUUAAAUAGUCAAUUUGCUUGCAUUUAAAUUGAAUAUUGCAUAGAUUGGUGAAGUGGGGGGUUAUGGAGUUACUGGAAAUCUUGGAAUAAUACUGAAGUGCACUUUAUAUUUCUGAUGGACUGUGGUGAUCACUAUUCAGUGUUUAAAAUGUAUGGCCUCAUGUAUUACAAGUCUUUGAUGCUAUGUCAUGUCAUGAAAGAUGGCGACAAUGUGAAGAGAAGUUUCCUUGAGUUUGAUUCAAUUAAGCGAAGCUCUCAUUGUAACAAGAACAAACAACAAACUCAUUUCAUCAGUGCUCCUCUAAUUUGCUCUGGCUUCUCAAAAACCAGAGGAACUUUUUAAUCAUUCAGAACAUUGCCAAGGCAAAGCAACAAGAAGACUUUGAGAAAAAGGAGCCAGAUGGGUUAUCCUUUAAUCAAUUAAAGAAAGAGAAAGUCUAUUGUCUCUUGGACUGCUGGAUAGCCUAGUCAAGAAUUUAACUGAAGAUGUUUGUAUGGUAAGUAGUUUCAUCCAUGCUCAUGCAUGUUUGUGCACUUUUUUGUGGUGAGGGCUAACUUGACAAUGAAUGUUUAAAUCCCCGUGGAAUUGUUUACAAAAACUUUGAUUUUAUUUGAGAAAAAAAAAUAAUGCCUCAUGUAACUGUCUGGAGAAAACAUGUUUUCAUUAUGAUGCAUUUACAUGCCAACAGUAUCUCAGAUUAAAAAUACCUUUAUAUAAACAAAAGCCUUCUAUAGUUAACUAGUUGUUGAUCAUUGGUUAAAACUGCAUAAACAGAUGAACCAUCUGUAAAUAUAAGAAGAACCUCUUCUUUGUUAUCAGUUAGGAUAAUAUUAAAGCAGCCAGCCACGUGGUCCUGUGGGAUGGUAUCUCACACAGAUCAAAUUUUUCUACAUCCAUCUUCUGAGUUUUCUGCUUCUCAUUUCCAUAGAACUUUCGACGACUUCUGGAAGCUGCUGUUACCAUACCUUUUGGUUUAACUAAACUUGCCCUGGUUUGGCCCUUGACUUCCAGCCUUGGCUGGAAGUAGAACCAUACUGACCUGCAGUGGAGAAUUGUGGCUAUAGACUUAGGUUACAAUUUACUGUUUGCACAGGCAGAGGGUGGGAAAGUGGAUUGAAAUGCCAACUUGCAGUCUGGCCAUUGCAAUUCCACAUGCAAAGAUGUCUGUAUAGAAGCAGUGGUUUAGUUGUCUCUCAGAACUGACUGCUCUUCUGUAUAGUUGAGCCGUGGCACAGUGGUUUGAAUGCAGUAUUGCAGGCUAUUUCUGCCAACUGCCAGGAGUUUGAUUCUCACUGGCUCCACCUUCCAUCCUUCCGAGGUGGAUAAAACGAGGACCCAGAUUGUUGGGGACAAUAUGCUGACUCUGAAAACUGCUUAGAGAGGGAUGCAAAGCACUGUGAAGUGGUAUAUUAUUGCUAUUGCUUGGAAAAUGGAGAAUGGUUAUAAUGUUUGAUAUUACAAAGUAUUUUAAGUUUUGUCUAAGCAUGCUGUUGUUUUUCAGCAGCAGUUUUAAUUUUGUUUUGCUAUAAUAUCCAACUGUCUGACUUUGCCAUUACCAGAUUCAUAAAGACUUAUGUAUUUAAGAGUCAGGAAAUUAAUGAAACUAAAAAUAAUUAUUUUUAUUGAUAUUAUCCAGGCAUGAUAUUAUCCAGGCAUAUUGGCUUAGCUUAAAUAUUAAUCAUAGCCAAAUCCAGUUUAAAGAUAAAUUUCGACUGUACAACCAAUCAGGCUGAUGUAAAUACUUUUGUGAUAGAUGCCUGUUUGUUACAUGCUACAGUGACUUCAUUCUUCCCUAUAUGACAAAUGUUUAUUGGUGGUUUUCUCAUGCAUUUUAUACUGUUUCAAGGGAAGAACAAAUUAGACUUUUAUACUUACCGUAUUUGUGUGUUAUAUUCUAUCUCAUUUUUCAGUCAGUAUGAAUUUUUUAAAGGGCUCACAAAAAAUGUAUAUAUUCUGCACAUAAAUUCUUUUAAUAUUUACUUUUUAAAAAAAAAUACUCUAAGGUUUCUCCCAAUGAAUAUCACAGCAAUUGAUAGGUAAAAAGUAAAGGACAAUUAAAUUUCAGGUUUUGUAUUAACUUGUGCAAUUAUGCUUGGUCAUGUGAAAAUGAAAACUAAAGAAACUUUUCCCAUUAUUUAUUUACUUUUAUGUUUCAAUAUAAUAUACAUAUGUUGACUUGGCAUAAGAACCAGUGGCAUAAUUACGGCAUUGCAAGCCAUGAAGACGUAAGAGUAUUUGUUGCAUACUCUUCAUUGCAAAACUUUAUACAACCUAUAAUGUGCAAUGCUUUGUCCUCAGUGCUGAUGCUACAUAUGCCAAUUCUCAUGGAUUAUGAACUCAUUUGUUGGUUGGUCCACAAGUUGUCACAAGGAUCCAGAAGAAUUCAAGGAAAAACUGACAUCAUAACUGUGAACUAUAAAUACGAUAAGCUUUCCAGAAGCUUUUUUUUUUUUUUUUGCCAUUUAAAUAUUCACUUGCAAAAAUUCAGGGCUGUUCUUUUUUGGGUUCACGUAUCUGUUACUUUUCUGUACGCCAUGCCUUAUUUCUUGAAAUGCAAUUACCACAAGUAUCUAUGGAUAUUCUCAAUCAUCUAGGUCAUGCUUUUUCCAAGAGUCAAUAUUCUCAUGAACUAAAGAAGCUUCUUGGAUGAAAAGCAAAAUGUUUUCAAAGAAAAAAACCAAGAAAGUCCAGUUGCCUUUUGCAAAAAGCACCAAUUACAGCUGUAACUCCUUGUUCUCACAUUUUCAACAAGGAACAUUUAUUUUUGGAUCUUCUCAAAUUAUCUUCUCAUUAAGAAUAAGAUGAGAUAUAAACCUAACAAAUAAGAAAGUCAUAGUUCUGAUGGUUGAAUAGAACACACCAAGUUCUUGGAUAACCUGUAUGAUAGUGCUGCAACAGAAUUCCUUACUGAUUUUGUUCAAUAAUAUUCAAAGGAAGCUGAAGAACCUUCUUGGAUGAGAAGCAAAACAUCUUCUCAAAAAAAUCAAAGUCCAGUUGCCUCUUGAAAAAAGCACCUUUGGGACAAUCAUUACUUGGAUGACUGAGAAUCACCAUAGAUGAUCAAAGGAAGUAUGUUGUCAUAAGAAAAGCCCACUCCUUAAUAAAAUGGUAUAGAUUUCUGCAUUAUAAUCCCUUGACAUUACUAGAUAGUAGGAAACGAAUCCUGCACGGUCCACAUAUGAAGGUAGCACUUAAAAUGAAAACAUACUAAAAUUGUAAAAGAACAAACCAGACUUUGGACACCAGUGCAGUGUCUGUAUAGCUCCCCUGAAAUAGAAAAACCUGUCAGUCAGGCUAGAAGUACUUUGGGCUAAGUACUUUCCCUAUUUGUUCACCCCACAAUUAGAACAGUAUUGGCUAUUAACAGGUAUUUUCAGGAAGAGUUAUUCUAGAGCAGGGGUGUCAAAUUUGCGUCGUCAUGGCAGUGUCACAUGACGUAUUGGGAUUUAUCCCCCCUUCGCUAAACCAGGCAGGGCCAGCACGUGAUGUAAUUAGCCCAAGGGUCAUAAGUUUGACACCCCUGUUCUAGAGAGACCAUCUUUUAUUCCUGAGCUAUGUGGUACCAUCUGCAAAUUUGCCUUCGUAUGGCAAUAAAGCAUUUUUCAUUGGCUGGAUAUACAUGGAUAUCCAGCCCCACAUGGAUGGAUUUUUUUCCAUUUUAUAUAAGAGCACCCAGCUGUUUCCUACAGGUAAUCUACAAUUUACAACUGGUUGUUUAGUAACCAUUUGAAAUAACGCCAGAGUUUUCAAAGCUCACUCCCUGCAGUGAUGUGAUUAAAUUUUGGGCACCUGGCCACUGGAUCAUAUUUAUGACUAGUUGCAAAGUUCUGUGGUCAUGUGACCAUGAUAUGCAACUUUCUUUUUGCUAUUUACUGGCAGAAAAUAGGGGGGGGGAGAAACCCCAUUGGAUAUGCUGGAUUCAGUUAAUGAUCAUGUGACUUGUUUAAUGACCACAAUGACUUACUUUACAACCAUCACAAAACAGUAAAAAAAGUUUAGUCACAUGAUUAGGGUUGCAAGCACAAUGACUUGGGACCAAAAUUGGUCAUAUUUUGGACCAAUUGGUCAAAAGUGAAGGGUAUGCUUUUAUGAUUACUGGUGUUACAUUCUAAAUAUUUUGAAAUAGUUUUCAAGGUUUGGUAAUAAGAAAAAUAAGAGCUAUAAUAUAUUUGACAAUAUUUGCUACCAAGGUAAGUUUUCCUGAUAAUCCAUAAACUUCAGAGAGGACACUGCAGUCAAGUGGCAUUACCUUGUAUUCACCAUCUAUAUGGAAACUCCAUGUGUAUGUUUUGUUCAAGAAAUUUUUUUGUGUAUAUCUUUUGGUACUGAUUGUUCAUUUUGUUGUUCAUGUUGAUAUAUCUUUCAGUUCUGAUUAGUUUUUGAAAUUCAAGCCCAACAAAUUUUAAAACAUCCUUUUUUCUCCUAUCCAUCUUCCUUCUAAAUUCUAAUUCAGAUUCUUUAAGCAACCUGUUUGUUUUCCUAAUUUUGCAUUUUACAAAGUAAAUAUAUUUAUCCAC
RNA transcript from Pantherophis guttatus, 9677 nucleotides. It is a transcript of the gene named neuropilin and tolloid like 1, with no coding region annotated. Lineage: Eukaryota; Metazoa; Chordata; Lepidosauria; Squamata; Colubridae. The record is from RefSeq and is a predicted model, not a curated record.